ACUCCCACGAUCAAAAUUGCCAUCAGUUCAAAAUUUGAAACCCUAACCAUCAGUUCACAGCCCACGAUCAUUACUCCUACCGCCGUCCACCGCCAGCUCCAUCAAACACCGUUGUCCUUUAAGCACCGCUGUUGCUCAAUCUCAGGGACCUAUUGUCACCACAAUUCGAGCUUUACUGACCCCCACCCAAUGAAGGAACUCCGUGUUAAGGUAAGGCUUUUUGCCUCAUUUUUUUUUAACGUUUGAAAUGUUGCCUUUUGAAAAGAUUUUGGCAGUAUUGUGAAGAAUGGUAAUCUUGGAAAUUGGAAUAGCAAUGCCAGGCACUUCCCUAUCGUUGCAUUCUGGCUUUGGUUGUUGUUGUUUAAUUGGUUUUUAUUUGCAUUUGGUCGUUUGGACCUUUUAUUGUUACGAUGGAUUGUGUAAAGGGUGAAUUUUUAUGGGUCUUGCAAUUAUUUGCUAGAAAAAGUUUGUUUUUUAUUUUAAUUUGAGUAAAACUGAUCUUAGCUUUUGUACUGCAAAUGCAAUCUGAUCUUGCAAAAUUAUUCAUUGGUGGGAUUUCGGGGAAGUUUUGGUAUCAGUAAUUAUGAUGGAUCAGAGCACAGGGUGUGCCUGUGGCCUUGGCUUUAUUGUUUUUGCUGACCCUUAGUGGCAGAGAGAGAAACACAACAUUGAUGAAAAAAUGUUAAGUUGGAUUAGAACUGCUGAAGUUGGAUAAGAAACACAAAAUUCCUCCACCUGCCAAUGGUAUUUUUUUUUUUUGGAGUUCAUCUAAAUUGGUAUCCGGUGAUUCCAGUUGUAAUGUACAUUCAAUUUCAAGUGUUCUUUUACUAUUUAGUCUACAUGCUUUAUUUGUUAGUAUGUUUUUCAUCCCUCCUGGAAAAAGUCAAAUUUCACUUGCAACUAAUGGGUUUGAUCCUUAACGACUUGAUUCUUAAUUACUUGAUUAAAAAGUCAAAUCUGUUAACAACUUAUUUGAGUGGAUUACUUUGUAUUAUGAAGUUGUAAAGCCUAAUAAUUCUUAAUGUGUAGACAUCUUACUAGGUGGAGUAAGCUUCUUAGUAUUAGGUUAGGCAUGAACAUGUUUUCGGGAAAAACUAUUUCAUUUGAAUGACAAUGAUAAAAGUCCGUUUAAAUGGAGUCUAAUUGUUGUGCUCAGGCUCAAUUGGAAUGGGUUAGGUACUUUUCCUCAGAAUCUAGGACGAAAAAUUGGUUACUAUAUGUAUUAGGUACUUUUCCAUGUCUGUUUUUAAUUUUUGUAUCUCAGUAUCUACAUCAACAUUUUCUGUUCUUAUGCAAUGAGGAUCUGCAUCUAGCUUUUCCCCACAAACAAGAUAACAGUGUGCAGAUUGGAGCAUAAGAAGCAUGGAUCCUAACUACUCAAAGUGUUGGAGCGCUUCCAAGGUUUGUCCACAAGUUAAGAAAUUUGGAUUUUCAAAUAAUUAUGAGCCUACCAAAUGUACCCAUUGAUGAAUUUCUUGCAAUUUGGCAUGAUUAUGAUUCCAAACCAGGUUUUAGUUCUCAAUAUUGCACUGCCAACAUUCACAUCUUGGGAAUUCGACUGUGCUUUCUUGACUAAAGCAGCUUUGAUAAACUGAUAAAUUGCUUGCUGAAUUGCAUUUCAGAAGAAAUCUUGGAAGAAUAUUUUACUCUUGGCCUAUCAAAGCCUUGAUGUAGUAUAUGGCGACCUGAGCAUUUCCCCUCUUUAUGUAUUCAAAAGCACAUUUGCUAAAGACAUUCAUCACUCAGAGACUAAUGAAGAGAUUUAUUUGAAAAGCUUUCCUUAAUUUGGUGGAAA
This is a long non-coding RNA of Rhododendron vialii, 1795 nucleotides long. RefSeq lists it as uncharacterized. Lineage: Eukaryota; Viridiplantae; Streptophyta; Magnoliopsida; Ericales; Ericaceae. The transcript has 2 exons. The record is from RefSeq and is a predicted model, not a curated record.